AGACAGACGAGGCAGAGGUGAGGAAAAACUCCCCGAGAUGACAGAAGGGAUAAAACUAGCGAGAGUCAAAAAGGAACCCAUCCUCUUCUGGAAAACCAUCUUUAAAGAACAACCCUGAUGUGACAGAGGCAAGAAAAACUCCCUAUGUUGAUAUGAGGGAUAAAAGCUUGAGGGGAACCAGAUUCAAAAGGAUGGGUUCUCAUGAGGCUGGUUCUGUACUCAGUAACAAACUGAAAUCUCAUCCACCAACUCUGCUCAAUGGGAAGAAAUGAAUCUGAAGAUUUAAAGGCAACAGAAGUCAAUAAUUUUGGAGGCUUUUUAACAGCCAGAGAAUUUGGAGAACUUAGAGGAAACCCUGCUGAGAAGUGAAUGGACAGACAAGAGCGAUGGAGAGAGAAAGAGAGAGAGAGAACGAAGGAAGGAAGGAAAGAAAGAAGGAAAGAAAAAAGGACACAUUAUUUAUUCAUGAUGCAUCCGUAAUGAUUUCUAUUACCAGAUAGAUUGCCUUCUGUUAAUGGCCACUCUCUCUUUAUCUCUCUCUAUAUUUCUCCCGAGUCGUUUUUAUACUGCAGAACGGAACACGGCAUCGACGUCGGAUGAGGGCAGAACAGACGAGCUGAGAUCAGCGAGGUGGGGUGAGAACGAGAGAGAGAGAGAGUGCCAGUGUCCGUCCCUUCAUCUCCAGAGGCCCUUGUCAGAGGUUAGAGCAGUCCAGUCUCUGGCAAAAGAAUUUCCUUCAGGAGUAUCUCAUCUCAUCUCAUCUCAUCUCAUCUCAUCUCAUCUCAUCUCAUCUCAUCUCAUCUCAUUGUACAACAGCACUCACCCUCAUUCCCUCACUAUGGACAAUUUAAAGAUGCCAAUCAGUCUAAAACAAAGUCUUUGGACUGGGGAAGGAACCCUGAGGAACCCCCUGAUGCAUGGGGAGAACAUGUGGACUCUGCACACCGAGCAGACCCAGGAAUCAAAGUCCUGGAGCCCAUCCUUGGAGGUUGGGGUCCAAGCACAGGGUCAGCCAUGAUACAGCACCCCUGGAGCAGAGAGGGUUAAGGGCCUUGCUCAAGGGCCCAACAGUGGCAACUUGGCAGUGCUGGGGCUUGAACUCCUGAUCUUCU
Long non-coding RNA from Hemibagrus wyckioides, 1112 nucleotides. RefSeq lists it as uncharacterized. The transcript is spliced from 6 exons. Lineage: Eukaryota; Metazoa; Chordata; Actinopteri; Siluriformes; Bagridae. The record is from RefSeq and is a predicted model, not a curated record.